CAUGCAAGUCGAACGAUGAUGCCAGCUUGCUGGUGGAUUAGUGGCGAACGGGUGAGUAACACGUGAGUAACCUGCCCUUAACUCUGGGAUAAGCCUGGGAAACUGGGUCUAAUACCGGAUAUGACUUCUCAUCGCAUGGUGGGGGGUGGAAAGCUUUUGUGGUUUUGGAUGGACUCGCGGCCUAUCAGCUUGUUGGUGAGGUAAUGGCUCACCAAGGCGACGACGGGUAGCCGGCCUGAGAGGGUGACCGGCCACACUGGGACUGAGACACGGCCCAGACUCCUACGGGAGGCAGCAGUGGGGAAUAUUGCACAAUGGGCGGAAGCCUGAUGCAGCGACGCCGCGUGAGGGAUGACGGCCUUCGGGUUGUAAACCUCUUUCAGUAGGGAAGAAGCGUAAGUGACGGUACCUGCAGAAGAAGCGCCGGCUAACUACGUGCCAGCAGCCGCGGUAAUACGUAGGGCGCAAGCGUUAUCCGGAAUUAUUGGGCGUAAAGAGCUCGUAGGCGGUUUGUCGCGUCUGCCGUGAAAGUCCGGGGCUCAACUCCGGAUCUGCGGUGGGUACGGGCAGACUAGAGUGAUGUAGGGGAGACUGGAAUUCCUGGUGUAGCGGUGAAAUGCGCAGAUAUCAGGAGGAACACCGAUGGCGAAGGCAGGUCUCUGGGCAUUAACUGACGCUGAGGAGCGAAAGCAUGGGGAGCGAACAGGAUUAGAUACCCUGGUAGUCCAUGCCGUAAACGUUGGGCACUAGGUGUGG
RNAcentral lists this ribosomal RNA (756 nucleotides) under Micrococcaceae bacterium. RNAcentral's name for it is "bacterial SSU rRNA". It matches the Rfam family "Bacterial small subunit ribosomal RNA", at positions 54 to 825 of the family's 1533-position model. Lineage: Bacteria; Bacillati; Actinomycetota; Actinomycetes; Micrococcales; Micrococcaceae. The record is from RNAcentral.